AACGAACGCUGGCGGCAUGCCUAACACAUGCAAGUCGAACGAUCCCUUCGGGGAUAGUGGCGCACGGGUGCGUAACGCGUGGGAACCUGCCCUUAGGUUCGGAAUAACUCAGAGAAAUUUGAGCUAAUACCGGAUAAUGUCUUCGGACCAAAGAUUUAUCGCCUUUGGAUGGGCCCGCGUUGGAUUAGCUAGUUGGUGGGGUAAAGGCCUACCAAGGCGACGAUCCAUAGCUGGUCUGAGAGGAUGAUCAGCCACACUGGGACUGAGACACGGCCCAGACUCCUGCGGGAGGCAGCAGUGGGGAAUAUUGGAAAAUGGGCGAAAGCAUGAUCCAGCAAUGCCGCGUGAGUGAUGAAGGCCUUAGGGUUGUAAAGCUCUUUUACCCGGGAUGAUAAUGACAGUACCGGGAGAAUAAGCCCCGGCUAACUCCGUG
This 433-nucleotide ribosomal RNA is filed under the name uncultured bacterium. RNAcentral's name for it is "partial 16S ribosomal RNA". It matches the Rfam family "Bacterial small subunit ribosomal RNA", at positions 29 to 507 of the family's 1533-position model. The record is from RNAcentral.